GUUAGAAUGCAGAGGACGACCUCGGCGAGGAGGUCAUGGUUGUCACCAUGUUCAUUAUGAACUCUGAGAACAUAUCCAGUUGCCAUCAAGCGCACUGUCCUUGCUUCCCUCCACAUGUUUGUGUACCCAUUUCUCAAUUCCUAAGUUAUUUCUCCUAGUUGGGAAUUAUAUAAGUGACAACCUGGUUGUGCAUGAUGUGUAGCCAUGCAAGUUUAUAUGCAAUAAAUGUUCAAACCAGUGAGAAUUUUGAACCGCCCAUAAAAAAUUAAAGGAAAUGAAAAAUCAGAGUUCAAAGCUUUCCACACGUAUAACGGUAUAAGUUAAAUCAGACCACAUAACUUCAUAGAGAUCGACAUACAUCUUUUAACAGCGAGUUAAGAAUUAUGACCAUACCAACCUUCCACAAUCAUAAUGCCAUUACAAGAUCACAGGCCUUUGAAGUUUAAAAUCAAGGAGUAACACACGACACAAAGUUGUCCAUCCAGAAUAUUCAAUGUAAAAUAGUUUCACAAUCAUGUUUCAUAUAUAGUUAUUAAAAUCAGUUGAUUCUUUUUAACAAUAUCUAUUCACAUCAAAAUAAUUUGAAGUACA
Molecule: long non-coding RNA, 591 nt
Filed under: Setaria viridis
Lineage: Eukaryota; Viridiplantae; Streptophyta; Magnoliopsida; Poales; Poaceae
Description: long non-coding RNA (SVIR_LNC010958)
Source: RNAcentral